Prosopis cineraria is the source of this 3849-nucleotide RNA transcript. RefSeq lists it as uncharacterized. NCBI's taxonomy places the organism in Eukaryota, Viridiplantae, Streptophyta, Magnoliopsida, Fabales, Fabaceae. The transcript has 2 exons. The record is from RefSeq and is a predicted model, not a curated record.
CUCAAAUGUUUAACUUGAAAGAAUAAGCUCUCGAGUCCCGAUAACAUUCACUCUCUCUUUGCGCAAAUUUUCGCCCCUGAACCAGCUAAACAUGCUCGGCGCUGCCACCGGAAGACGACCGAUAUGAAAUCAUUUCUAUCGGAGUUCUAAUCGAAAGUGAGAUGAAACUUGCAAUAGACCGAAAAGUAAAAUAUGAGGCGCAGGCACCUCAAAUCCGCAGGAUACGAAGCGAGUGAGAAAGAAGUAAGAAAAGGAGACAGAAAGUCGAGGUCUGGACUCUUAUCUCUUCAACUGAGCUCUCUUCAUCUUCGCUGAGCGGCUUCCAUCCAUGCUGUAACCACUGCUCUGUGCUGCGGUAUUAGUGGUGAUUAUCUUGAAAUGCAACGGAAUGUGAUUUUAGUGUAAAGAAAAUCAAAAAAGUUGGAUCCUCGCAUCAUGCAAACCGGCCACCGAUUGUUGAGACUGGUACCACCGUCGCCUGCGACCCCGAAACCAACCGCAUCGUCUCCCUCAUCGACCGAGAGAAAGAGAGAGUGGGUAUUUUGCAGAGAAAGAUCAUUUCAAUUAGGCACUUCGUAUCGUACAGUGUAUUUGUCGUGUUUCUUAGACCUACUUGGAAAAUAACUACCUAUAUUAGUCCUUAAAUGAGAUUCUCACCUCAAUCUUUAACAAUUUUUUUUAAUAAAUUGAUAAAUUUUAUUAAAAUAAUAAAUUCAUAUUAACUUUUGAUAAUUUGACUUUAGUAAUGAAAAUAAAUAAAUAUAUAUAAAAAUUAGUGCAAAUUAAUUUUUUUAAUAAAUUUUUAUUAAUAAUUUAAUAAGUAACUAUUUAUAAAAUGAUAAAUUGAGUUACGUUUUUAACAAGUAAUGGUUUAAAAAAUAAAAACAAAGUGUAUAAUGUAUAUAAAUUUGUAAACUAUAUUAUUAGAAAGUAUUGAUAAUUUAAUGACUAUUAAUUCUUUUGGUAAUCAAAAAGUUAUGGGUUUAAAACUCUUCUUAGCCACUUUAAAAAUUUAAUUAAUGGUCAUUGAUGUUGGAGCUAUAACACCGGUGGGAAAUUUUUCAAAAAAAAAAAUGAGGAUUACUUUUUUCUUCUCAUACUAAAUUUUAAUUACAUUUAUAUUUUUUAAUUCUGCAAAAUAAUUUCAAAAUUAUUUGAUCUUUUUUAACAACAAAUUUUUUUAAUCAAUCUUUGGAUAUGAUUUUUCCUUAUUUCUUCUCUUCGCAUUAUAUCUUUUUUUUAAUAUUAAAAGACAGGUCAGAAGACUUGGAGAUACAACUAAUUAAUAAGUUACAAAUUGUUUAUCAGCCUCUAAAUAGGCCAUGUAUCCAGCAACAGGUUCAUAUAAAAUACAGAAAUAAAAAACCCAUUAUGAAUCUCAUGGUUAGACUAAUGAAUCUCAACCUCCCAAUCUAAGACAAUCAGCUUUUAUAUCUCUGUAAUGUCAAGUCUUAAAGGAUGAUUAAGACCCCUACCCAUUUGGAUCAGGUGAAUAGCUUCCAAAGAGUUAGAAUGAUAGACAAUUUUAUUCACCUGAUAACGCUUACAAAGCUUAAGACUCAGAUGCAAUGCAAAAGUUCUGCUAUAGUAGAUGGAACAAACCUCAAUCUGCUUUGAAAGCCUAAGAUCCAAUUACCUUGUGAAUCCCUUAGGACUUCGCCACACGUUGCAUCUCCUUAGCAGUUCAUUGAUCCAUCCACGUCUAAUUGAAGAUAGCCCAAGUAAAUUGGUCCUUAUGAUCUUGUGUAGACCGUGAUAGGUGGACCACACAAGUGAGCUCAAUGGGCAGAGGCCAACCCACAACCCAGUAACCAUCAGUUAUUUCCUAUCUCUUAACUGACUGAGUCAGAGAUAAUAAAUAAUAUAAUUAUUUAAUUAUUUAAUAAGGCAGUUACAGAUCUGAUUAAUAUAAGUCGAUCAGUCGAUAACCACAAACACACAACUCAUUUUUUUCUUCUGCUCUAUUAACUCUAAACUCUCCGAAGACUCUGGGGGCCAGUGGGUUAUGCACCUGUCUACACUCAAGGUAAUCUAGUCUUCUCAAGCGCUUAUGAAUUCUUCAGGUACGCAUACAUUACUUUACUUAUUCAUAUGUAUUGAGAUAUACAAAAUUAACACAUGGUAUCAGAGCCAAGUUAACGAAUUCUAAAUUUAUAUAUCUCAAUUCUUCUUAUGUAUAUAUUGAUAUAUUGAUAGAGAUUCAUGCUCAUGUUGAUAAAUUUCUUUAUGAUCCAUAUUACUCAGGAAAUGAGUAUGAAUAUGAGUUUUGAAUAGGAAAAUUUUGGUCUUAAAUCUUAUUAUAUUUAUGAUAAAAAAAUUCUUGACGUCAUUUUCUUCACUGUGCGCUUCACGGAGUUCUCCUUCACGGCGUCAAAACUGUUCUUCCUCACUGUCAAAUUGCCAACGAGAGGGGGUAGUUCACGGCGUCGUCCUCCUUCAUGGCUGUCGGAAGCUGUUCGGUACGCGGCUUUGACAAAGACAGCUCUUUCUUGCAAAUCACUGUUUCACCGUGUGCUAUUGUCGAAAAAAAAGGUUUUGGACUGCUGCGUCGUCAUUGGAAGUUUAUGUCACCGCAGUUCAGGCAUUGCCGUCGUAGGUCUGCUUCGGCGUCGUCUGGAGUUGGCGGCGCGGUGGAGGUUCUGGAGCUGGGGACGUCACUGCCAUUCCGACAACCGCUGCACGCCGGCCUCCCCUUUGGUCCUCGUUUCUAGCUCGCGGCUGGAGAAGACCCAGAAUAGUUUCUGCUUUUAUGCAACUAUCUUUUGUGAAGGCUCUCAAUGAGACUAACUAUGAUGACUGGAAAGAGUCCCUAAAUAUGUAUUUGGCCAUUUCUAAGAAAGAUUUAGCUUUGAGAGAGCCCAAGCCUGCGGAUCUCUCUUCCAAGUUCAGUGCUUCUGAAAUGGCCUUCCAUAAACAAUGGAGUGAGUCCAACCAGAUCUCUCUUGCGAUCAUCAAGUACACAAUUGAGAAGAGAAUUAGGGAUAGUAUUCCUGAAAAGGAUACUACAGUGGAAUACUUGAAAGCUGUUGGUAAUAAAUACAAGAAGCUUGACAAGACUCAAAAGAACUACUAUUUGUCACUUCUUGACAAUACUCGAUAUGAUGGAGUUUCUGGUGUCAGGGAGCACAUUCUGAAGCUUGUUCAUUACUAUAACAAGCUUAAGUCAUAUGGGAUUGAUUUGGUCAAGAGUACCUUAGUUUAUCGUGUUCUUCAAUCACUGCCAUCAGAGUAUACAUUCUUGAGGACCUCAUACAACUCACAAGAAGCUGAAUGAUCUAUUGACCAGAUGAUAUCAAUAAUCACUCAAGAAGAGGAAACUAUAAAGAAGAAUUCCUCUCACUCAGUAAAUUAUGUUUCUCAUGGCUCUAGCAGCAAAUCUGGAGGGUCGUAUAAGAAAAAGGGGAAGAAGCAUAAUGCCCCAAAGCCUAAUAAUCCAACCUUUUAGAAGAAUGGUGAUAAGAAUGAAAAGCUGAGGAAGAAACCCUUUAAGGGAUUAUGCAAUUAUUGCAAGAAACUGAGUCACAUUAAAGUUAAUUGCUUCAAACUAAAGAACAAAGAAAAAAGUAAAGGUACAAUUCUUCAAACUGCCCUUCUAGCUCUAGUUUGUUUUGAAUCUAACACCAUUGAAACUUUCUUUGACUCAUGGUGGCUGAAUUCUGGUGCCAUUGUACAUGUUGUGAAUUCUCUACAAGGGUUAAGAAACCAGAAGAUUCCAAGUGAGGCACAGAAGUUAGUCUUUGACAUAACAGGGAGCAAGGCAUCAGUUGAAUGCAUUAGAACUAUCUCUUUGUAUUUAAAUUCUGGUCAUAUUUUACAUUGAAUAAUGUUGUUUAUGUACCUUUUGCAAAG